GCAAGUCGAACGCUUUUUCUUUCACCGGAGCUUGCUCCACCGAAAGAAAAAGAGUGGCGAACGGGUGAGUAACACGUGGGUAACCUGCCCAUCAGAAGGGGAUAACACUUGGAAACAGGUGCUAAUACCGUAUAACACUAUUUUCCGCAUGGAAGAAAGUUGAAAGGCGCUUUUGCGUCACUGAUGGAUGGACCCGCGGUGCAUUAGCUAGUUGGUGAGGUAACGGCUCACCAAGGCAACGAUGCAUAGCCGACCUGAGAGGGUGAUCGGCCACACUGGGACUGAGACACGGCCCAGACUCCUACGGGAGGCAGCAGUAGGGAAUCUUCGGCAAUGGACGAAAGUCUGACCGAGCAACGCCGCGUGAGUGAAGAAGGUUUUCGGAUCGUAAAACUCUGUUGUUAGAGAAGAACAAGGAUGAGAGUAAAACGUUCAUCCCUUGACGGUAUCUAACCAGAAAGCCACGGCUAACUACGUGCCAGCAGCCGCGGUAAUACGUAGGUGGCAAGCGUUGUCCGGAUUUAUUGGGCGUAAAGCGAGCGCAGGCGGUUUCUUAAGUCUGAUGUGAAAGCCCCCGGCUCAACCGGGGAGGGUCAUUGGAAACUGGGAGACUUGAGUGCAGAAGAGGAGAGUGGAAUUCCAUGUGUAGCGGUGAAAUGCGUAGAUAUAUGGAGGAACACCAGUGGCGAAGGCGGCUCUCUGGUCUGUAACUGACGCUGAGGCUCGAAAGCGUGGGGAGCGAACAGGAUUAGAUACCCUGGUAGUCCACGCCGUAAACGAUGAGUGCUAAGUGUUGGAGGGUUUCCGCCCUUCAGUGCUGCAGCAAACGCAUUAAGCACUCCGCCUGGGGAGUACGACCGCAAGGUUGAAACUCAAAGAAUUGAGGGCCCACAAGCGGUGGAGCAUGUGGUUUAAUU
This 917-nucleotide ribosomal RNA is filed under the name Enterococcus gallinarum. Its description in RNAcentral is "bacterial SSU rRNA". It matches the Rfam family "Bacterial small subunit ribosomal RNA", at positions 57 to 951 of the family's 1533-position model. Lineage: Bacteria; Bacillati; Bacillota; Bacilli; Lactobacillales; Enterococcaceae. The record is from RNAcentral.